GCGCUCAUCAGUACUCCGCCUUCUGUCUGAUGGAUUCCAUACAGAGGAGAUUAGCAUGGCCCUUGGCGUAAGGAUGACACGCACAAUCAUGAAGCGUUUUCACUUUUC
Molecule: small nuclear RNA, 108 nt
Organism: Perca fluviatilis (European perch)
Lineage: Eukaryota; Metazoa; Chordata; Actinopteri; Perciformes; Percidae
Source: RefSeq, a predicted model, not a curated record